Molecule: non-coding RNA, 191 nt
Organism: Meleagris gallopavo (turkey)
Lineage: Eukaryota; Metazoa; Chordata; Aves; Galliformes; Phasianidae
Source: RefSeq, a predicted model, not a curated record
AGGUAACAGAUUCCCCAGCAGAUGUGGCUGAAAAAGCAGACAGAAUUAUUACCAUGCUGCCUUCAAGUCCCAAUGCAAUAGAAGUUUACACAGGAGCAAAUGGAAUUCUAAAGAAAGUGAAGAAAGGCUCAUUAUUAAUAGAUUCCAGUACUAUAGACCCUUCUGUUUCGAAAGAAUUGGCUAAAGCAGUG